Long non-coding RNA from Haliotis rubra (blacklip abalone), 135 nucleotides. RefSeq lists it as uncharacterized. Lineage: Eukaryota; Metazoa; Mollusca; Gastropoda; Lepetellida; Haliotidae. The transcript has 3 exons. The record is from RefSeq and is a predicted model, not a curated record.
ACUUUUAAUUAUUGUUACUCAUAAUACAUGUACAUGCAAUUUUUUAAGAAUAUUAGUCUCUCAUAAUUCCGUAUGUAAUGGCCCUUAUGUAAACAUAUGUUAAAUUAGUUUGUAUAUAUACCACUCUUAGGUCAA